This 255-nucleotide ribosomal RNA is filed under the name uncultured bacterium. RNAcentral describes it as "partial 16S ribosomal RNA". It matches the Rfam family "Bacterial small subunit ribosomal RNA", at positions 524 to 778 of the family's 1533-position model. The record is from RNAcentral.
UACAGAGGUCCCGAGCGUUGUUCGGAUUUAUUGGGCGUAAAGGGUGCGUAGGUGGCAAAGUAAGUUGGAUGUGAAAUCCUGGGGCUCAACCUCAGAAUUGCAUUCAAUACUGCUUAGCUAGAGAGCUGUAGAGGAGACUGGAAUUUACGGUGUAGCAGUGAAAUGCGUAGAUAUCUGGAGGAACACCGGUGGCGAAGGCGGCAUCCUGGACCAACACUGACACUGAGGAGCGAAAGCCAGGGGAGCAAACCGGGG